CCUACGGGUGGCAGCAGUGGGGAAUAUUGCACAAUGGGGGGAACCCUGAUGCAGCGACGCCGCGUGAGUGAAGAAGUAUUUCGGUACGUAAAGCUCUAUCAGCAGGGAAGAAAAAAGGACGGUACCUGAGUAAGAAGCCCCGGCUCAAUUCGUGCCAGCAGACGCGGUAAUACGUAGGGGGCAAGCGUUAUACGGAAUUACUGGGUGUAAAGGGAGAGUAGAGGGCAUUGCAAGUCAGGAGGGGAAUGCGGCAGCUCAACUGCCGAACUACUCUGGAAACUGUAUGGCUUGAGUGCAGGAGGGGUAAGGGGAAUUCCUGGUGUAGCGGUGAAAUGCGUAGAUAUCAGGAGGAACACCAGUGGCGAAGGCGGCUUACUGGACUGUAACUGACGUUGAGGCUCGAAAGCGUGGGGAGCAAACAGGAUUAGAUACCCCUGUAGUC
RNAcentral lists this ribosomal RNA (442 nucleotides) under uncultured bacterium. RNAcentral describes it as "partial 16S ribosomal RNA". It matches the Rfam family "Bacterial small subunit ribosomal RNA", at positions 338 to 795 of the family's 1533-position model. The record is from RNAcentral.